AGCCGUGUGUCCGAGUGGUUAGGAUCAGGUCUGCAAAACCUGCUACGGUAGUUCGAAUCUACCCACGGCGU
Molecule: transfer RNA, 71 nt
Filed under: Pedobacter sp. BS3
Lineage: Bacteria; Pseudomonadati; Bacteroidota; Sphingobacteriia; Sphingobacteriales; Sphingobacteriaceae
Rfam family: tRNA
About the family: Transfer RNA (tRNA) molecules are approximately 80 nucleotides in length. Their secondary structure includes four short double-helical elements and three loops (D, anti-codon, and T loops).
Source: Rfam by way of RNAcentral